AUGGGGGUGUGGAGGGAGGGGGCCGGGUGGUGCUUCUGCUCCGGCGGCGGAGGCCGCUCCGAGCGGGUCAAGGCGGCCAUCUUCUCGGCCAAGGCCGCCGCGCUCGCCGCCGUCUGCGGCGGACACGGCACGGGACUCCUGAUCCACCGGAACCUGCUGCUCACCACGCACGGCAACCUGCCCUCCGCCGCCGCCGCCGAGGACGCCGCCGACGCGCUGCUCGGCCACGCCCGCCUCGCCGCCCGACUCGUGCCCCACAGAUUCUUCAUAACCAGCUCGAUUCUUGACCUUACGAUAGUCGGUGUUGAUUCUGCCGAGAAUGACUCGACUUUGCAGGCUCAGCAACCUCACUAUCUGAAAACAUGCUGCAAACCAAGCCUAGAUCAUGGGAGUGUUGUUUACCUGCUGGGGCAUACCGGGAAGAAGGAACUGGUGAUCGGCGACGGGAAAGUAGUGAUUGGCACGGAUAACCUCAUAAAGCUCUCCACAGAUGGGGUGACAUGGUGUCCUGGCUCUGCCGGUUUCGACGCCCAGGGGAACUUAGCUUUCAUGAUCUGUGACCCCAUGAAGCUGGCCUCCUCCCCCACUGCAAGGUCAUCUUCAGCAUCCUCAUCCUCAUCACAUUCAUCGAAGAAGGAUCAGCAAAUGCAGUUCGGGAUCCCAAUAUCGGUGGUCUGCGAUUGGUUGUAUCAGCAUUGGCAAGGCAACCUGGAUGAGGUUACCAAGCCAAAGUUACCUCUUGUUAGACUGAUGUCCAGCAGAAGCGAUCGCUCAAGCUCCUCCUUCACUCGUCGCAAUGUGUUCAAGCCUGCGGAUGACAAUAAUGAUGAUGCAUCAGUUACUUCAAAGAUGACUGCAAAGCCCAAAUACCAGCAGGGGUCAGGUAGCUCAGCCAAUGCAAGGAUUUCUCAUGAUGCAAAUCCUCUGGUUGAUCUACGGACCAACAAUGAGCAGGGGAUUUCAACUCCAGAAAUAUACGAAUCACCGAGGGGUAGUUCUUGUCAGGGUCACCAGGAUCCUGCACCAGUACAACUCCUGGACAUCAACUUCCCAGCUAAGGUUCCCAAGACUAUUUUUCUACCACUGCCCUUGAAACAAAUGCUUUCCGAGGAGAACAAUGCGGACACAUCAAAGGCGAAACCCAGGAAUCCAUCCAGAGAGAAUCACUUUCCAGCAGGCCUGAUAUGGCACCGUAAUGGCGAGGCAGAUUCUAGGGAUCCUCCGGUUGCUCUUAUGGAGGACUGUAGCAGUGAGGGGCAGUCGAGCUCGUCACCUGCUGAGCGAUCGCGGUACAGACAUCAAGACCAGUUCAGCAGCGAGGAGGAGACAAUGUACUCGGCCGAAACCAUGGAGAGCACAAACAUUCCAAGCUCCAGGGAGAAGCACGUCGGGAGGAGCCAGAGCUGCGUCAACUACAGCAGGUGGAGCUCUCCGAGGAAACCGUCGAUGAUUCAAACCGGGACCUUGAGGAAGCAGCACACGCUGAUCCCUGUGCGGAAGACGCACUCGCAGAGCACGUCCCUGCCGCAGAGGAGUCAUGACUACUUGAGCCCGACGGUCUCCUCGGCCAUGAAGAAGAGGAACUCCAUGGAGCUGCAACAGCCCCCAAAGCCCCGUCGGAUCAUCGUCCAGUCUUCUCCGAAAUGGAUGUUCUGA
Molecule: ribosomal RNA, 1656 nt
Filed under: Triticum aestivum (bread wheat)
Lineage: Eukaryota; Viridiplantae; Streptophyta; Magnoliopsida; Poales; Poaceae
Description: partial small subunit ribosomal RNA
Source: RNAcentral